This 253-nucleotide ribosomal RNA is filed under the name uncultured bacterium. RNAcentral describes it as "partial 16S ribosomal RNA". It matches the Rfam family "Bacterial small subunit ribosomal RNA", at positions 524 to 776 of the family's 1533-position model. The record is from RNAcentral.
UACGUAGGGGGCAAGCGUUGUCCGGAAUCAUUGGGCGUAAAGCGCGCGUAGGCGGCCCGGUAAGUCCGCUGUAAAAGUCCAGGGCUCAACCCUGGGAUGCCGGUCGAUACUGCCGGACUAGAGUUCGGAAGAGGCGAGUGGAAUUCCCGGUGUAGCGGUGAAAUGCGCAGAUAUCGGGAGGAACACCAAUGGCGAAGGCAGCUCGCUGGGACGUUACUGACGCUGAGACGCGAAAGCGUGGGGAGCAAACAGG